RNAcentral lists this ribosomal RNA (468 nucleotides) under uncultured bacterium. RNAcentral's name for it is "partial 16S ribosomal RNA". It matches the Rfam family "Bacterial small subunit ribosomal RNA", at positions 28 to 507 of the family's 1533-position model. The record is from RNAcentral.
GACGAACGCUGGCGGCGUGCUUAACACAUGCAAGUCGAACGGAAAGGCCCUGCUUUUGUGGGUUGCUCGAGUGGCGAACGGGUGAGUAACACGUGAGUAACCUGCCCUUGACUUUGGGAUAACUUCAGGAAACUGGGGCUAAUACCGGAUAGGAGCUCCUGCUGCAUGGUGGGGGUUGGAAAGUUUCGGCGGUUGUGGAUGGACUCGCGGCUUAUCAGCUUGUUGGUGGGGUAGUGGCUUACCAAGGCUUUGACGGGUAGCCGGCCUGAGAGGGUGACCGGCCACAUUGGGACUGAGGUACGGCGCAGACGGCUACGGGAGGCAGCAGUGGGGAAUAUUGCACAGUGGGCGGAAGCCUGAUGCAGAAACGCCGCGUGCGGGAUGACGGCUUUCGGGUUGUAAACAGCUUUCGCCUGUGACGAAGCGUGAGUGACGGUAAUGGGUAAAGAAGCACCGGCUAACUACGUG